This 320-nucleotide ribosomal RNA is filed under the name uncultured bacterium. RNAcentral describes it as "bacterial SSU rRNA". It matches the Rfam family "Bacterial small subunit ribosomal RNA", at positions 373 to 710 of the family's 1533-position model. The record is from RNAcentral.
GGGGGAAACCCUGAUGCAGCAACGCCGCGUGAGUGAUGAAGGUUUUCGGAUCGUAAAGCUCUGUCUUUGGGGAAGAUAAUGACGGUACCCAAGGAGGAAGCCACGGCUAACUACGUGCCAGCAGCCGCGGUAAUACGUAGGUGGCGAGCGUUAUCCGGAUUUACUGGGCGUAAAGGGAGCGUAGGCGGAUGAUUAAGUGGGAUGUGAAAUACCCGGGCUCAACUUGGGCGCUGCAUUCCAAACUGGUUAUCUGGAGUGCAGGAGAGGAGAGUGGAAUUCCUAGUGUAGCGGUGAAAUGCGUAGAGAUUAGGAAGAACACC